CGGACGGGUGAGUAACGCGUGGGUAACCUACCCUGUACACACGGAUAACAUACCGAAAGGUAUGCUAAUACGGGAUAAUAUAUUUGAGAGGCAUCUCUUGAAUAUCAAAGGUGAGCCAGUACAGGAUGGACCCGCGUCUGAUUAGCUAGUUGGUAAGGUAACGGCUUACCAAGGCGACGAUCAGUAGCCGACCUGAGAGGGUGAUCGGCCACAUUGGAACUGAGACACGAUCCAA
This 235-nucleotide ribosomal RNA is filed under the name uncultured bacterium. RNAcentral's name for it is "partial 16S ribosomal RNA". It matches the Rfam family "Bacterial small subunit ribosomal RNA", at positions 99 to 334 of the family's 1533-position model. The record is from RNAcentral.